AGAGCGAACGCUGGCGGCAGGCCUAACACAUGCAAGUCGAGCGCCCGUAGCAAUACGGGAGCGGCAGACGGGAUAGUAACACGUGGGAACGCGCCCUUCGGUUCGGAAUAACUCAGGGAAACUUGAGCUAAUACCGAAUACGCCCUUACGGGGAAAGAUUUAUUGCCGAAGGAACGGCCCGCGUCCGAUUAGCUAGUUGGUGAGGUAAUGGCUCACCAAGGCUACGAUCGGUAGCUGGUCUGAGAGGAUGACCAGCAUCACUGGGACUGAGACACGGCCCAGACUCCUACGGGAGGCAGCAGUGGGGAAUAUUGGACAAUGGGCGCAAGCCUGAUCCAGCCAUGCCGCGUGGAUGAUGAAGGCCUUAGGGUUGUAAAGUCCUUUUAACGGGGAAGAUAAUGACGGUACCCGCAGAAUAAGCCCCGGACUAACUUCGUGCCAGCAGCCGC
This 449-nucleotide ribosomal RNA is filed under the name uncultured bacterium. Its description in RNAcentral is "SSU rRNA". It matches the Rfam family "Bacterial small subunit ribosomal RNA", at positions 26 to 518 of the family's 1533-position model. The record is from RNAcentral.